This 355-nucleotide ribosomal RNA is filed under the name uncultured bacterium. Its description in RNAcentral is "partial 16S ribosomal RNA". It matches the Rfam family "Bacterial small subunit ribosomal RNA", at positions 338 to 710 of the family's 1533-position model. The record is from RNAcentral.
CCUACGGGUGGCUGCAGUAGGGAAUAUUGCUCAAUGGGGGAAACCCUGAAGCAGCAACGCCGCGUGGAGGAUGAAGGUUUUCGGAUUGUAAACCCCUUUUGUUAGAGAAGAUAAUGACGGUAUCUAACGAAUAAGCACCGGCUAACUCCGUGCCAGCAGCCGCGGUAAUACGGAGGGUGCAAGCGUUAUCCGGAAUCACUGGGCGUAAAGAGCGCGUAGACGGGAUAGCAAGUCAGAUGUGAAAUCCUAGGGCUUAACCAUGGGACUGCAUUUGAAACUGUUAGUCUAGAGUAUGGGAGAGGUAGGUGGAAUUCUUGGUGUAGCGGUGAAAUCCGUAGAGAUCAAGAGGAAUACU